Molecule: long non-coding RNA, 1025 nt
Organism: Prionailurus viverrinus (fishing cat)
Lineage: Eukaryota; Metazoa; Chordata; Mammalia; Carnivora; Felidae
Exons: 5
Source: RefSeq, a predicted model, not a curated record
GCGCCGGGCUUGAGCGGGCCCGGCUUGGAACGGGAGCCGACGGGCGCCGGGGAAGCCGCGUCGCCGGGCUCGGCUGGGGGUGCGCAGCGCAGCGGCGGGACCCUCUCUACCGCCGUCGGGAGCGGGGGGCGGAGAGCGGGGCUUCGCCGCGGAGACCGUGCGUUGGCUCCACCGCCGCGGCCUUUCCUUCCUCCCGUCCCUCCGCCGCCUCCCGCUCGGGCCUGAGCGCGGGUCCGCGGCCGGCAGGGGGCGCUGCCGCGCCUGCGGGCCUGGUUCCCGGCGGCCGCGGCCUCUGGUCCCCGCUAGGUCCCCGGAGGCCCCCACCCGGUCCACAAGCCACCCCUGAGCCUCACGCCACCGGGGGACGGAAGAGAGUCCCGGGGCCACCGGAGGGGCUGUCUUUUUACGGGCUGGGCUCGAUGCAGGAGCAGCGAGGCCUACAGGGAAGCCACAUCUGACUCGACUCCGGGGGAUUUAUGGUAAUAGGAAAAGGAUGGAAAAUCAGUGCGUGGACAGUGAAAGGGAAGUCCAGCCUCACGGAGGGGCUUUUCCUGUGGGUCUCCAGAACAUUCCUCCCACCCCACCCACCUCAUGACAAACUGAGGCAAUGUCCUAAUGCUUCCGGAUAACAAAGCGUCUGAGGCUCUGAAGUUCAGUGUGAAAAUACGCACGUGUUCGGCUGUAUUGGAAAGCACGGCAAAGAGAAAAGACACGUGGAGUAAGGAUAAGUGAGCCAGUUUUUAAGCUGAGGCUUCCUGUAGGAGUUGCAGCAGCCGUGUGACUUUGGACAAAUAUUCUCCAAAUUAACAACCACCUCCAACUGGAAAUCACACUUCCGCGUGGGAGCAGAAAAGGCAGCUGUGCAGACGGACCAGGGCUUGGAAAAUGAACCACAUUUUCCAAGAUCCGUUAUUAUAUCAUCUGUCUUCUUCCCUCCGAUCUGUGAUGGAAGCCCUGUCAUACACUGAUUCCCCACAUAUAUGUAGUUCUGUCCCCAAACUUCCUGUUCUAUUUGCCUUUCCUAU